Rosa rugosa (rugosa rose) is the source of this 919-nucleotide RNA transcript. It is a transcript of the gene named tRNA-specific adenosine deaminase TAD2-like, with no coding region annotated. The transcript is spliced from 9 exons. Lineage: Eukaryota; Viridiplantae; Streptophyta; Magnoliopsida; Rosales; Rosaceae. The record is from RefSeq and is a predicted model, not a curated record.
ACUUACAGUUCGAUUAUCUUAAAGGGUUAAAACAUCAAAGACUGUUGAUGUCCAAUUACUCAACUCAAAUGAAUAAUGGGCUGGGCCUAUUACUCCAGUUAAACCCUUUUCUUCUUUCCUAAAACCCUGCGUUUCUUUGCUCAACAAGAACUCAGCUUUGCCGCCACAACUACACCCGAGACUUCACGCGCCUCUAUAGUACCUCACCUAAGUAGAUGGCAUCUCUUGAAGAAGAGAACCCUAAUGAUGAUACCCUUAAAUUUAUGGAACUUGCUAUAGAACAGGCAAAGCUUGCUUUGGACAGCCUUGAAGUUCCUGUUGGCUGUGUGAUUGUUGAAGAUGGAAAGGUCAUAGCGUGUGGAAGGAAUCAAACUAAUGAGACACGAAAUGCCACGAGGCACGCAGAGAUGGAAGCCAUUGAUACUCUUCUUAAGCAGUGGAGAGAAAAAAGGCUUUCAACGUCAGAAGUUGCUGAAAUUUUUUCAAAAUGUAACCUCUAUGUUACAUGUGAACCAUGCAUAAUGUGUGCAGCAGCUUUAUCAAUUGUUGGUAUCAAGGAAGUAUUUUAUGGCUGUGCUAAUGAUAAAUUUGGUGGGUGUGGAUCAAUACUGUCAUUGCAUUCAAGCAGCUCUGAGCCACUCAUGAGCGGAAAGGUUUCAAAUGCACUGGAGGGAUAAUGGCAUCAGAAGCAGUCUCUCUUUUCCGCAAUUUUUACGAGCAAGGAAACCCUAAUGCUCCAAAGCCUCAUAGACCUCUAGUUCACCGGGCUACACAAUGAUUAUGUUUAAUCAAGUUGUGGAUUAGACCAUCUUGCCUUUACAGUAAAGUUGACCAACUAGUUCUUAAGGGUUGCCAGAAGGGGAUGUAGAUGCAAAAGAAGACUUCUUUUUUUUUUUUUUUUUUUGUAAAGGUGUUUGGA